AGCGUAGGUGGCCUAACAUGUCAACUGUGAAAACCCGGAGCUCAACUCCGGACUUGCAGUUGAAACUGGUAGGCUUGAGGACGGUAGAGGAAGACGGAACUGCCAUUGUAGGGGUAAAAAUCCUUAGAUAUUGGCAGGAACGCCGGUGACGAAGGUGGUUUUCUGGGCCGGUUCUGACACUGAUGCUCGAAAGCCAGGGGAGCGAACG
This 208-nucleotide ribosomal RNA is filed under the name uncultured Mesotoga sp. RNAcentral describes it as "partial 16S ribosomal RNA". It matches the Rfam family "Bacterial small subunit ribosomal RNA", at positions 568 to 774 of the family's 1533-position model. The record is from RNAcentral. Lineage: Bacteria; Thermotogati; Thermotogota; Thermotogae; Kosmotogales; Kosmotogaceae.